AACUUUGCGCAGUGGCAGUAUCAUAGCCAAUGAGGUUUAUCAGAGGCACGAUUAUUGCUAAUUGAAAAAUCAACAGGACA
RNAcentral lists this small nuclear RNA (80 nucleotides) under Canis lupus familiaris (dog). RNAcentral describes it as "U4 spliceosomal RNA". It matches the Rfam family "U4 spliceosomal RNA", at positions 1 to 80 of the family's 138-position model. Rfam says of the family: U4 small nuclear RNA (U4 snRNA) is a component of the major U2-dependent spliceosome. The record is from Rfam by way of RNAcentral. RNAcentral also lists the same sequence under 1 other name. Lineage: Eukaryota; Metazoa; Chordata; Mammalia; Carnivora; Canidae.